AUGGAUGACAACUUAUUCGUGCCUCUGCUCCCAAAGCUUGCAGCAACACUGGUCACCAUCAGCAGGAAGCACAUGCUGCAGUUAUCCGUAAAUGCCCUUAGAGUUACAGCAAGCCAAUCAGUACACUAUGACGAAGAUGAUGGCAGUUUCUUUGCCACUGUUGAAAUACAUGUUCCAGCACAUGAAAACAUUCCUCAGUUUAAAACAACCAUAUUUGCUGGACACAACUGCCAAACAACAAACGCCGCUCAUGAAUCAGUGAGUACUGCUGCUCUGCAUUACAUGCAGCAAGCAGGCAUUCUAAUUAUCGAUGACCUGAAUUUCCCUGAGCUUCAAAAGUGCAAAAAAGAGGUGGUCAGAGCCAAGUCAUGGUCAGACAUAUUUGGGCAUGAAACAGUCAAGCUAAAGAGAAAAAUAGGUUCCUUAGAGAGGGAAUUAGCAUCUCUUAAAGAGAACAGUGUUGUUCAUAAGCCAAUCCAGCAACCCCAGGCAACAGAAGAGCCAGACCAACAGCCCUCAGCUGCAUUGCAAAUGUCAACACCGCCUACUGAACAACAGUUUAUACAGCCUAUUCCAGUUGCAGACAUGGUCAGUCAUAUCCUAUGUUUUAACGUGAUAUAUAUCUUUCAACUGCACUUCAUAUCCCACUACAACCACAUGUAA
This 663-nucleotide ribosomal RNA is filed under the name Triticum aestivum (bread wheat). RNAcentral's name for it is "partial small subunit ribosomal RNA". Lineage: Eukaryota; Viridiplantae; Streptophyta; Magnoliopsida; Poales; Poaceae. The record is from RNAcentral.